This is a small nuclear RNA of Lycium barbarum (goji berry), 108 nucleotides long. The record is from RefSeq and is a predicted model, not a curated record. Lineage: Eukaryota; Viridiplantae; Streptophyta; Magnoliopsida; Solanales; Solanaceae.
GUCCCUUCGAGGGCAUCCGGUAAAUUGGAACGAUACAGAGAAGAUUAGCAUGUUCCCUGCGCAGGGGCGGAGCUAUAGUGGUGAAAGGGUGGUAAGAUGAACAUCCUU